CUUGUCUGUGAAGCCUCCAGACAACCCCAAAGCAAACACCCAUCGGCACGACAGCCCAGACAGCCCCACUUCCAGCGCAGCCCAAAAGACG
RNAcentral lists this non-coding RNA (91 nucleotides) under Gloeochaete wittrockiana. Lineage: Eukaryota; Glaucocystophyceae; Gloeochaetales; Gloeochaetaceae. The record is from RNAcentral.